UAGGUGGCAAGCGUUAUCCGGAUUUACUGGGUGUAAAGGGCGUGUAGGCGGGGUCGCAAGUCAGAUGUGAAAUCUCAUGGCUCAACCAUGGAACUGCAUUUGAAACUGUGAUUCUUGAGUGAUGGAGAGGCAGGCGGAAUUCCGUGUGUAGCGGUGAAAUGCGUAGAUAUACGGAGGAACACCAGUGGCGAAGGCGGCCUGCUGGACAUUAACUGACGCUGAGGCGCGAAAGCGUGGGGAGCAAA
This 245-nucleotide ribosomal RNA is filed under the name uncultured bacterium. RNAcentral's name for it is "partial 16S ribosomal RNA". It matches the Rfam family "Bacterial small subunit ribosomal RNA", at positions 528 to 772 of the family's 1533-position model. The record is from RNAcentral.